Molecule: long non-coding RNA, 531 nt
Filed under: Homo sapiens (human)
Lineage: Eukaryota; Metazoa; Chordata; Mammalia; Primates; Hominidae
Description: HSALNT0325313
Source: RNAcentral
AGGGCUCCGCGCAUGCAGGAAGACCACCCUAAGGGAAGAAUCAUGGGAAAGAGGCAGAAAAUUAAAACUGGAUUGCUACCUGGUGCUUCCAUACACUGAAAAGAAAGAACACUCCAAUCUGCCAGCCUUACGAUGUUGGGAAAACGCAUCAAACAGUGCUAAGGUUUUAAGCAUGGAGAAUAUAAUCCAGUUGUAAAGCUAUUAACCCAGAAAAGAUCAUACGCACUGCACUGGUUACAUGGAUUACAGCUGCAGACUUCUAACACAAAAUCCACACACAAGUACACGGACCCAGGUGGAGGCCUCAGCCCCUUAUUUCCUGCUUCUCUCCACUGUCUUAUUUUCAAGCUGCUACUGGUGCACCAUGAGAACCUGAUUUAAUACUAAGUGUCCAUACCAAAGUUCAAUGUCUGUCCCUACAGCAUAAUAUAACAUCGGUUAUCUCAAACAAUUGAUCUGGCUUAGUUCCUGGCCCAGGUGCAUAUUAGUUUUUGGAAGAAACUGAAUACAUAUUGUAAAAGUGUAUUAGCU